RNAcentral lists this unclassified non-coding RNA (300 nucleotides) under uncultured Clonostachys. Its description in RNAcentral is "sequence contains 5.8S rRNA gene, ITS2". The stretch from base 1 to 71 matches the Rfam family "5.8S ribosomal RNA", at positions 84 to 154 of the family's 154-position model. Lineage: Eukaryota; Fungi; Ascomycota; Sordariomycetes; Hypocreales; Bionectriaceae. The record is from RNAcentral.
GUGAAUCAUCGAAUCUUUGAACGCACAUUGCGCCCGCCAGUAUUCUGGCGGGCAUGCCUGUCUGAGCGUCAUUUCAACCCUCACGCCCCUAGGGCGUGGUGUUGGGGAUCGGCCAGCGCCCGCGAGGGCGAGGCCGUCCCCUAAAUCUAGUGGCGGACCCGUCGUGGCCUCCCCUGCGAAGUAGUGAUAUUCCGCAUAGGAGGAGCGAUGAGCCCCUGCCGUUAAACCCCCAACUUUCUCAGGUUGACCUCAGAUCAGGUAGGAAUACCCGCUGAACUUAAGCAUAUCAAUAAGCGGAGG